UGGGGAAUAUUGCACAAUGGGGGAAACCCUGAUGCAGCAACGCCGCGUGAAGGACGAAGGCUUUCGGGUCGUAAACUUCUAUCAGUAGGGAAUAAUAAUGAAGUUACCUAACUAAGAAGCCCCGGCUAACUACGUGCCAGCAGCCGCGGUAAUACGUAGGGGGCAAGCGUUAUCCGGAAUUACUGGGUGUAAAGGGUGAGUAGGCGGUUAGACAAGUCAUAUGUGAAAAUUCUAUGCUCAACGUAGAACGUGCAUAAGAAACUGUCUGACUAGAGUACAGGAGAGGUAAGCGGAAUUCCUAGUGUAGCGGUGAAAUGCGUAGAUAUUAGGAAGAACACCGGUGGCGAAGGCGGCUUACUGGACUGAAACUGACGCUGAGUCACGAAAGCGUGGGGAGCAAACA
RNAcentral lists this ribosomal RNA (403 nucleotides) under uncultured Eubacteriales bacterium. RNAcentral's name for it is "uncultured Clostridiales bacterium partial 16S ribosomal RNA". It matches the Rfam family "Bacterial small subunit ribosomal RNA", at positions 355 to 774 of the family's 1533-position model. Lineage: Bacteria; Bacillati; Bacillota; Clostridia; Eubacteriales. The record is from RNAcentral.